Saccostrea cuccullata (small rock oyster) is the source of this 1276-nucleotide long non-coding RNA. RefSeq lists it as uncharacterized. The record is from RefSeq and is a predicted model, not a curated record. Lineage: Eukaryota; Metazoa; Mollusca; Bivalvia; Ostreida; Ostreidae. The transcript has 5 exons.
UAAGAAGGUGGUGAUUGGGCCAAUAUUUACAAUAACAUGUGCAUGGAUUUAUUUUGCAGGAAAACACGUGGAAAUGGGAUUCAGGCUUUGCCCGACUCAUAAUUGUACAUGCAGACAGAGGUUGUGUAUUGGAGUUUUUAAUUUCAGGUGCAGGGAUGUCAGUUUGUUCGGGGCGAGGAAAUAAGACUGAUUCCACCAGUUGUGUCUGUCUCCACCUUCACACACCACUGAAUUCCUUCGACAUUUUGAACAGUUUCCUGAGUAGCAGAGGAUGGUACUUUCUACGACAAGAGGAAGUUUACUACAGAUGAUGUUGAUGUCUCCAGUGGAAACAUCUCGGGGCUGAAGUGGGCACUGUGACACUGCCGGAACUGGGCUCUGCUGACAUGGGUUGGGUCGGCCAGUCGAGUGACUCUCCAGUCUGGAUGAAAAAUUCGCAUGGCAUCUUGGAAUCCCUGGGCUGACCGGGCAUCACCGUCUGUUGUGGCGUGCUUCACCUUGAACCCGUCUGCGGCCAGAUCUUCGCCUAUGGAUUUAGCCAACUCGUACUCUGAAAGAGGGCUAGAGUGGCUGUGUUGACCUGAUUGCUGGCCCUUUGCAUUGAGCUGCGGUUAGGAGGUGGAAUGUCCAAGGCAGCUACCAUUUCCCGACUGCGUCGAUUCCCCAUGGAGGUGUUCUGCAGGGCUAAUUGAAAGUUCCAGUUGAUACUGGCAGGAUUAGGGCCUGGUUUGUUAAAGCUCCUUGCAUGGCUCAGGUCUGGGACGAAGGAUCGGUGUCCUUGAGAUGUUUUCCUGGCCUUCAGCAAGGGGCUGUGCUGUCUCUGUCUCAGGGGAUCCCUGGAUGUUUGACGCUGAACUUGAAGCUCCUGCGGCAUUUAACGUAGCCUGAUGAGCCUUGAUAUAAUGAAUGUUCCCUUUUUUAAACCCAAAAUUAAGAUUUUUUCUUCUCUUACGGUCACCUUUCAUUGUUUUCAUGUGUAGUGAAGAGUGGAUUUGAAAGUAAGAUUGAAUUAUGACAAUGUUUAUUUGGACACUUUUUAGUGGUAUUUACUGCAAUAUAUUCCUUUGACAAUCACCUGUCAAAACAGACUCCCAUAGGGUAUUAAGAUUACCUAUACAAAGACUCUUAGCCAAUCAGCUGCACAUGGCCCCUCUUCACCGUCAGGAAAAAGGAUAUGGGGGUGGGCUUAAAAAUCUGUUUAUUUUGAAUGUUAUGUACACUUUUAUCAGUAAUGUGAUACAUCAUUUGAUUUAUGAAUAAAUGUACUUUAAAUGUU